This 72-nucleotide transfer RNA is filed under the name Microcaldota archaeon. RNAcentral describes it as "Candidatus Micrarchaeota archaeon (hot springs metagenome) tRNA-Tyr". It matches the Rfam family "tRNA". From Rfam's summary of the family: Transfer RNA (tRNA) molecules are approximately 80 nucleotides in length. Their secondary structure includes four short double-helical elements and three loops (D, anti-codon, and T loops). The record is from RNAcentral. Lineage: Archaea; Nanobdellati; Microcaldota. RNAcentral also lists the same sequence under 1 other name.
CCCGUCGUAGCUCAACGGUAGAGCGCCCGGCUGUAGACCGGGAGGUUGGGGGUUCAAAUCCCUCCGACGGGA